Molecule: long non-coding RNA, 1837 nt
Organism: Eriocheir sinensis (Chinese mitten crab)
Lineage: Eukaryota; Metazoa; Arthropoda; Malacostraca; Decapoda; Varunidae
Exons: 3
Source: RefSeq, a predicted model, not a curated record
CGUAUCCUCGAGAGCUAUUAACUUUUACUCUUAAAGUUACUAUCAAAGUUAAUAGUUUCAAAUUAUUAAGAGUAAAAGCUAUCCUCGUCAACUUUGAGUGUAGGUAUUAGCAAAUCCUGGCUACUAUUAUCUUCUUCUUCUUCUUUAUGGCGGGCUCGUUGCUAAGGACGCCUCCGUGCAAAACGUAAACAUCCGACAUGAAUUAAGUAUAUAUUUCAAAAGAAAAAUAAAGAAAAGAUGUAUAAAUGUACAACAGAAACAUAAUAAAUGGCAAACACAAGAAAAUACUGAGUUUUGUGGCAGAUAGAAGCAGCCUCAAAGGCUGUUUUUACUCCGUCACUCGUCAAUACCCGUAUCUCCCCUCCUGCGUCACGACUUGCUCUGCUGAAAUUACCGCACCAUAACCACGUCAUCUGCCCCAAUGAUCUACGGGCCGGAGAACCAGCGCAGAAAAGGAGUAAGUUUAAUUGGUCGCCAGAUGAAACGGUCUUCUUACAUCAAAUUCAAGAAAAAAUACGUAUAAUCAGAGGGUGUUAUGGGAAGAGUAUCACCCCUGAGGAUAAGAAGAGAGCGUGGACUGAAGUGGCAGAAGCUGUAACAAGUGCCUUCCCUGGGAGUGGACCCCGUACGCAGGAUGACUGUGAGAGGCGUUGGUACAACGUACAACAAAAAUCAAAGCCUUGCAUUGCCAAGUGCAAGAAUGAGCAGCGGCAGACUGAUACACACUUUAUCAGUAUUGCUAGAGACCAUCCCAGCACAUUGUUCAUUACUUGUGAAAAAUAUACCAUUAGCUGCUCCGGCAACAGCCACUGCUUCAAUAUCUGCUGGCCCUAUGACACCAGCCACUGCUUCAUCAUCUGCUGGCCCUAUGACACCAGCCACUGCUUCAUCAUCUGCUGGCCCUAUGACACCAGCCACUGCUUCAUCAUCUGCUGGCCCUAUGACACCAGCCACUGUUUCAUCAGCUGCUGGCCCUAUGACACCAGCCACUGCUUCAUCAUCUGCUGGCCCAAUGACCCCUGCCACUGCAAGGGAUGACAAUGAAGCUGCUCCACCAGAGUCACCACCUACUUCAUCGGAGUUAAGAGAUGCCUUUCACAGGGCAGCAGUAUAAUUUUUUGAUGCUGGGGCUGAAUAUUAUUGCCUCAAGGCUAUGAUUUUGUCACUUUUUUUAUUAUUUUAUUACUGAGGAGGUAAGGGUGGAAGGGGUGAAAAAUAAUUUGUGCUGUUUUUCGACAGAAAUGAUUAGCAAAUUCAUUCAGAGCACAAAAUUUACAGGAAAAAAAAUUGUGUGCCAUUGUGAGUGGGUUCACUUGAGAUUGGGCUCCAAUACGCCUCCGUGGUCUAGUGGUCAGCAUGCCUGGCUUCUACGCGGGCCCGGGUUCGAAUCCCGGCCUGGGCAGUCGGCGUGCAGCUCACCCAGCUGAUCAUCCUCCCUCUCGGGCUGGUCGAUAAAUGACUACCUGGGGAAACUAUGGUAACCCGGAUGUCACACUGGCCCUGUGUCCCGGGGUAAUGGGCUCCCUCUCACCACAGGCUCAAGGCCCAAUGUUACGGAGAUGAGCACCGAGGCCACGCGCUGCUAUAGCGUAUGCUCCAACUUUACCUUUAUCUUUAUUGGCUCGACUGACAGACAUGGCUUUGUAUGUCGAAGGUCACUGGUUCAAUCUCCACAGCCAGCACUCUCUAACUUGGAUUUUUCCGAGUUCCCUAGAGCCUAGAUUAAUUUCUCGGUGUUAAAUGAGGAGAUUUGCACCGGCACCCAGUCAUGGGUGUUACAAGAUGCGUUGUUACAAUCAGGGGCGUCAUUUGGCCUUCAAGUGGGAGGGACAUUAGG